GGAGUGACAUAUACAAACUUCAGGGCAGUGGUUUCCUCUGGGAUGCAGGGAAGUGAAUGAGAUUAGGAAGGGUGACAUCAACUGUAUCUGAAAUGCUUUAAUUGUUAAUACAAGUGAGGGGUAUGAAGAUAUUUGUUAUACUAUUUUUUUGAUGCUUUUUACAUGCUGGAAUAACAACAACAACAAUGCCUUGCAUUUCAUUUCCCUGUGGUUUAAAGAUAGAGGAAAUAAAGCUUUUCUCCUCACAGUUAGAAAAAAAUGUACUUCUUGAAAGAACCCCUGAAUAAUCUGAUUAAAAAAACCCAAAAUGCAAUUAGUUGUUGCUUUUUGAGAGUCAGUCCAGUGUAUGCAUUAUUCUUUGGACUCUGGAUCUUAAUUUGAGGGCAGAGGAAGCCACUGAAAGGGUAUUAGCUGAGGGGUGAUCUCAUUCUUGGCUUGCAGUGCCUUUUGGAACUUGCCUCCUUCUUUCUUUCCCAUCUUUAUCGGCCUACCCCAGCUUCAGUUUUUCUUCUCGUGACUUCACACUUCUCGUAGGUACACACAACCGUGUGCUCCUUCACACCAAAGUGCAGUUGCUCACGGUUUCCCUUGCUUAGGACAUCUUUCCCCCCUCUUUCUGGCGAACCAACCCAUGCGCUCCUUCCAGAGCUAAGGCAACAUCUUCCCUUAGGAAGUUUUCCUUGCUCUCUAAAGUGAGUUGGGUUCGCCUCUGAAUUCCCAGCACUCCCUUGGAUGUUUGUGUCAAAACCUUAUUUCACUGUUACCUUUCCUGCUCUCCCCAAAGUGCCUGAGUCAGAAGUGUUUAGGAAAGAGACGUGCUGUUCGAGCCAGAAGGUGUAGACUGGGAGUUUGCUCAAGUUUCUCCCACACUACUGGUUUCUAAUAAUGGCUCACUGAUCAUAAAGUAACAUUUCACUGUGACUUGGCUCCUCUCAGCCUUUAGGAGACUUGGUUAAGAUCUUGGAAAAAAUCCUCUACAAAAGGAUGGGAUGGAGUUAGGUUCAGAAGGAGAUGACAGUGGUAGGUCCAGACCUAAGAAACUUGCCACUCAGCGAGCUGGAGAUGGGUGGAUAAAAACAGGAAAUGACUUUCCAGUUCUGGGGUAGUGAACCUGGGUCAGCGGCAGCAGGUGGCUUGGAGGAACCUAAAAUAAGAGGCACCGGAGAACAGACAAGCCUCAGGAAAGCAAUAUUAAACUUGAACAGGGCCUCAUAAAGGUUUCUGUAGUUGAAUCAAGUUAAAGCAAGUUUGGAUCCAAAGGUCUGGUGACUCUUCUAAACGUACUCACACAUCUGGAUAUUGGACUGAGUUCCAGUAGAUCUGUCCUUGAGGAUCAUCUGGGGACAGACUUUUGUGCAAAAAAGAAAGAAAGAAAUGAUGAAUUAUCAUGUAGACGAUGUGAUCAGGUGUUCAUUAUUAGAAGGCAGAAUAAGACAGAGGCCAUAUUACCAGAUAAGGCUUCCACAUCAUCAGGGGAAAUGGGAUGUUUGUAUUUUGUUAUCUUUGAAGCUCAGGGCCAAAGCAAAGCUUGGAAUAUGGAAAGUUUUCACCAAAGUUGGCUGAAUGAAGGGAUGAGUUCUGGAGAAAUCUCAUGACUGGAGAAAGCCUCGCCGGUCACAACUCUUACAUCUGGUUUGGAAGAAUGUUGGUGGCAAAAUAAUAAACAAGACUUCCUGCAAAAACUUUUGACAUCAAGCUGACCAGAAACAUACCAGAUCCACGUUACCAGCUGGAUUAAAACCAAGGACAGGCUCAGCAGCAAUUUUAAUGGUUAAGAAUUAGGGUUUGGGGGCUAUGACGGUGGCUUGCCAGCAGUGCCUGAUUUAACCAUCCCCCUUUCCCAUAGAAAUACUCCAAAACACACAGUAAGACUUAAAAUUACAAGUCUGGAGGGAAUGACUUCCAUGAAUUAUUUGCCGGUCUCUGAGAGUGUUUUUUCUCUGACCGCAUCAUAAUGGGAUGAGAAGUAAGUCACUCUGACCUCAAAAAUAGCACUAGGCUGGAAUAUCCACCUUUGUACCAGUGUGUAUGGCCUCCCAUUGCUUGGGAACAGUAGGCGGCUCCACAUUGUGGCUGUGGCUAUGGCUGUGGCUGUGGCGUAGGCCAGCAGCUGCAGCUGCAAGUGAACCCCUAGCCUGGGAACUUCCGUAUGCCACACCUGCUUCCCUUAAAAAGCAAAAACAAAUAAACAAACAAAUAAAUAAAUAAAAAUAAAAUAGGCAUCUUACUUCCCAUUGUUCCCACUGUCCAUCCUGGCUCUCUGUCUCCAUCCAUUUGCUAUUCCUCCCAGUGAUGUACCGUCCUGUGAAGUCAAGUUGGCAGUGGGAAGAGUACAGGAAGAAGGGCUUUAGGAAUGCAGCACUCAAGGGAAAAGGCUUAAUUAGGGUUAGACAUUUGAAUUUUUAUAAAUUUUUCUCUCUGUAUUAACUUACCAUGGCAAGAGCUAAUAUUAUUUAGUGUUUAUAUCUAACCACAGAGCAAAGGGAAUGAGUGUCUGAGUAUAAUAACACUAUAGCUAAUGUUCUCAUAGCCCUCUAGAAUUUGAAAGAUCAUUUCAGACUACUUCAAUCCCUCACUCCACAUGUGUUAUCACCAUUUCUACCACCACCAAACUGUAUUUAUGGAAACUUACUCCCCCUCUCCCUGACACCAUAGCCAGCAUCCUCUCAACCACCCUAUAGAGAUAGGUGCUGUUAUGAUUUCUAUUUUGUCAGUGAGGGGACUGAUGCUGGUAACAUGGUUAUUACAGACUGAAUUUUAUCCCUUCCCAAAUUCGAAUGUUGAAGCUCUAACCCCCAAAGCAGUGUUAUUAGGAAGUAGGGCUUUUGAGAGAUAAUUAUGUUUAGAAGAGGUCGUAAGGAUGGGGCCCCGUGAUGGGAUUAGUGUCCUUAUAAGAAGAGAAGCAGACUAGAGUGAGAGAGCUCUCCACCAUGUGAGGACAUAGCAAGCAACAGUCAUCUGCAAGCCAGGAAGAGGGGCCUCACCUGAACCAAACCCUGCUGGGCCUUUGAUCUUAGACUUCUCAGCCCCGAACAGUGAAGAAUCAACAUUUGUUGUUAAAGUCACCCUGUCAGAGGUAUGUUGUUAUCACAGCCUGAACUAAGACAGUGAUCAAGUCAUGCAACGGAGUGAGUGAAGAGCUGAGUCCUGAAAGCCUUUGCACGUAACAACUAUAUUAAACAAGGAUCCUCCGAAGCAUAGAAGGGAUGGGGGUCCCAUUCCCAUUCUGAGAUUUGUACUAAAAGUAUCUUAAAAGUGAAGAAAUACCAAAUAUGGUGACAAAAGUAUCAUCUAUUUUAUUUUAUUUAUUAUUUUUGCCUUUUUAGCGCUGCACCUGUGGCAUAUGGAAGUUCCCAGGCUAGGAAUUGAGUCAGAGCUACAGUGGCCAGCCUGUACCACAGCCACAGUAACCUGGGAUCUGAGCCGCAUCUGCGACCUACACCACAGCUCAUGGCAGUGCCAGAUCCUUAACCCACUGAACAAGGCCAGGGAUUGAACCUGCAUCCUCGUGGAUACUAGUUGGAUCCAUUUCUGCUGCACCACAACUGAAACUCCAGUAUUAUCUAUUUUAAAUGGUUAUGUUUAACAAAUUAGCACCUUUAACACUCAAACCACAUUUCAUUAAUCUGUUUUGUUUUUCAGCCUGCAAAAAGUAUAACAGCUGAAUAUUUUUGUGAAAAAUGAUAUUUAAAAUUUUGAAGGAGACGGUUUUAUAACAGUUAAAAGUAAAUAAAGAAUGAGUGAUGCAUAGCUAUGGUCCUACAACUCUGCAAUUUAAAGCUAAUCAGCAGAUUUAUUAAAAAAUACCAUUUUAUGAUAUAUACAGGUGAUAUUGACAUGACCCAAAUUUGAGGACUAUGGUAAGCAUCUUUUGCGGUGCUGUCCAUGUAUUUCUGUGGCUGUAUGUCAGGCCCAGGGCAAGAGGCUCUGCAGAUGGACAUUAACUAGCUUUGUGGCUUUCUAGCUGUGUAACGACCUCUUUGGCCUCAUUUUUCACCUGUGAGAUGGAAGACUGAAUGUUGGACAUCUCCCUUCCUCACCUCAUUGCUUAACAGAGCCAUUUCCCUCCUUUGUCUGGCUGGGCCAGUGACUCUUUACAUCUUCAUCUGCAAAUGUGAUGGGUUGGAUGAGAUAACCUGCAGUGUUCUACUAGGUCAAAGGGUCCGUUAGCGCUUUUAGAGAAAAUGUAUCACUGAAUUGAAAAAAAUGCUAGGCUCAUGCUUUGCUUCUAUUACUACUGCUGUUACACCACCCUCGGCACCACAGUAACGCACGCCCAAGUGAAACCAAGCUGUUAAACCCACGAGAGCAGCCUAACCUUACUGAGGGCGGCACACCUACCCGUAAGUUCCCCUCCACGGGCUCAUUUACAGCCUCCAACUGAACUCAUAAGCUCAUGCCAACUGUAUUUAAACCAUUAGGAAAUAGUUUCUCUGGCAUUGGCUACAGAAAGGGUGGAAUUUCCUCUCCUGAGAAUUACAGGGAAGCCCAAAGAUUUUUCUGAAGAGGUACCCACAAAGGCUUUGAUUCUCUUCUGAGAGUCUGACCGAAAAUCAAAACAUUGUGGGCAUAUUUGUACAAAUGACACCUUUGAAAAGUUAGCUGACUCCAGGACCAGAAGACCAUCAACAUGGUUAAAAAAGAAUGUACCAGUAAGAAGGUCUGCAAGUCAAAGAACAUAAAUAAAAAUGUGUCAUGGAGGCAGUAUGCACUCCAGCUCAGUGCAGGAGAGCAUCCUAGUUCUACCAAGCCAAGUGCGUCUGUGCUGAUUGAUGCUGGGUGUCAUCAAUUCCUGUUUAUUGAGCACUUAUUCUCUGUGGGGAACAGUAACAUAUGGUAUCUCAUUUAAUAUUCAAAGCAGCCGUUUUACAGGUAAGGAAACAGCUGAGGAUCAGAAAGGAUAGGAUGACAGAGUGGGUGAGUACUGGACUCUGGAGGCUUUGCUUCUAACCACAGUGAGCACUGCUGGGAUGGUCAUGGGAAUACCCAAACUCCUCCUCAAGACCAGUCUCCAAUGGAGAUAGAACUGAGUGGCUUCUUGAUGUGGUAUAUUUAUACAUACAGUGGAAUAUUACCCAGCCAUAUAAAAGCAUGAAUUUCUACUAUUUGCAACAACAUGGAUGACCCUAGCAAGUAUUAUGCUUAGUGAAAUAAGUCAUACAAAGACAAAUAUUGUAUAUUAUUACUUAUCUCUGGAAUCACCGUGUGAGCCUUCUGGGCUUGUCAGUCUUCCUUCCCUGUCAGUGUCCUGAUUGCUUUAAAAAGUAAGGGGACCAUAUUGUGCUUACUCCUUCAGUUGUCAUUCCAGUCCUCAAAACUUUUCUCUAGCUAUGCCCAAAGGCAGAUGAUACUCCAGCAGUGAUAAUGAUGCUUGGCAACGAUGAUGCUUUUAUUAAGCCUUUAGUACUUGGCAAUUCAAUCACUCUAAACAAACAAAAUCAAGAUGACCAAGCCUAAAGGCUCUGGGGAAAACUCUCUGCAGAAGAUGAUAUGUAAUCAUCUAAAUUUUGAAGAAUGG
RNAcentral lists this long non-coding RNA (5518 nucleotides) under Sus scrofa (pig). RNAcentral describes it as "lncRNA (ENSSSCG00055027206.1)". The record is from RNAcentral. Lineage: Eukaryota; Metazoa; Chordata; Mammalia; Artiodactyla; Suidae.